AUACGGAGGGUGCAAGCGUUGUUCGGAAUCACUGGGCGUAAAGGGCGCGCAGGCGGUUUGGUAAGUCAGAUGUGAAAGCCCACGGCUCAAUCGUGGAAGUGCAUUUGAAACUGUCAGACUUGAGUACUAGAGGGGAAAGUGGAAUUCCCGGUGUAGAGGUGAAAUUCGUAGAUAUCGGGAGGAAUACCGGUGGCGAAGGCGACUUUCUGGCUAGAUACUGACGCUGAGGCGCGAAAGCGUGGGGAGCAAACAGGAUUAGAAACCCUAGUAGUCC
Molecule: ribosomal RNA, 274 nt
Filed under: uncultured bacterium
Lineage: Bacteria
Description: partial 16S ribosomal RNA
Rfam family: Bacterial small subunit ribosomal RNA
Source: RNAcentral